Non-coding RNA from Erythranthe guttata (spotted monkey flower), 1558 nucleotides. Lineage: Eukaryota; Viridiplantae; Streptophyta; Magnoliopsida; Lamiales; Phrymaceae. The record is from RefSeq and is a predicted model, not a curated record.
AAUUCUCGCAUAAUAUUACAGAAAAUCAAGAAAAAAUUAUCUCUUAAUUUCUUCAUUAUGUUUGCACCAAAAUCCCUCUUAUCUUACCUCUUUUGUUUUCCCCAAAAGUAUUCGCCUAUUUCACCCAAUUUCUCCAAGCCCUAGUUCCUACCCCUGUUCGAGAAUUUUCGAAUUCAUUAAGGAGAUUCGGAAGAUUUGAUUACAGGAAAAGAAUUGGGGAUUUGAAAAGAUAAUUUCAGAUUUGGGUUUUAAGGAAAAAUAAUAGUUUGGAGACCUUCGAGAAUGAAUCUCGUCGAUCAGGACCCACCUUUGGAAUAAGAUGUACACCGGUGUUGGUGAUUUCCGGCAGAGGUCGCCGAUGGUGGUCGUUAUCUGGUGUUCAACUUUUGGCUCUUCAAAGAAUUAAAUGAACGGAGGUGUUAACGGUGGAGUAUUGAUGAUAGAAGGUACUGUUACAAACCUCGAGAAGUUUUAUUCGACGGUGGUCGCCGAAAUUUGGUGUGAAAUUCAGCAUGCUCGCCGGACAGGGAAAUAAAAUCUGCUACGGCAUCUGUUUUCGGAGCCAAAAUCGAAGGGUUUGGAGUGUGAAUUUGGGAAUUAUUCCUUCUCGAAACUCGUAGAGGACCUCGAAAACUGUGAGUGUGUCAUCCGUGGUUGUGUACCUAAGAAAAUUUCGGUCUAUGAUGUUGCUUUUGGUGCUAACUCAAGCUAUGUUGGCGAAAUUCUGAGAAAUAGUAAACCUUCUGCUGCACUUGUUUCCGGAGUCGAAAUCGAAGGGUUUGGAGUGAGAUUUUCGAAUCAGUCUCUUCACAAAACUCGUCGAGGACCGUGAUAAUUAUAUGUUGGACUGUUUGAUGAAGUGAAAGAACGUUAUCGUGGAAGUCAUAUUUGUUGUCGAUUAACAAUUUAUGAAGUGGAAUUUAUUAUGAAAUAAUUAUAGUAAUCUUUCUUAUUAUUUGGAAUGAUUGAUUUAUUAUUUGUAUUUAGUAUGAAAGAUUGAAAUUAUAAUAUUCACAUUUGAUUGGUAAUAUGUAAAUUUGAAAUCUUUAGUUUUAUUUUAAUUUUUUUUACAGCCACUGUUGCAAAUAAACAUUAAUGAUUAAUGCAACCAAUUAAUUAUUGGUCUGAAUUGGUCAGUAAAUUUAAUAAUUGUCGAAACCAUGUAAAAACUAUUGCAACCAAUAAUAUGGUCACUAUAUGUAUAUAUUUUAGCAACCAACAGAUAUAUUAUUUAUAAACCAACAUAUACCGUCACUAUAUGUAUAUUAUGUAGCAACCAAAAAAUUUGGUGGCCAAAUAUAUAUCCUAUAGCAACAAUAAAAUAUGGUCACUAUACGUAUAUAUCAUUUAGCGACCAAAAUUAUAUGGCGACUAUAUAUGUUGCUAUAGCAACCAUGUUGAUAUUAUUGCCACCAUAAAAUUUACAUUAGCGAGUCAAAAACUGGUUGUUAAUAAUUAUACUUUUAGUGACCAAUAUUAGUUCGCCGCUAAAUCUCAUCUUUUAGCGUCCAAUUAAUUUUCUUGUCACUAAUACUUUUAGUAGCCACCCUGUUGUGAC